GAUGAACGCUGGCGGCGUGCCUAAUACAUGCAAGUCGAACGAAACUUCUUUAUCACCGAGUGCUUGCACUCACCGAUAAAGAGUUGAGUGGCGAACGGGUGAGUAACACGUGGGCAACCUGCCCAAAAGAGGGGGAUAACAAUUGGAAACAGGUGCUAAUACCGCAUAACCAUAGUUACCGCAUUGCAACUAUGUAAAAUGUGGCUAUACUGGCGGUUGUGGAUGGGCUGGCGGCGUAUUAGCUAGGCGGUAGGGUAGAGGCUUACCAAGGCAUUGAUGGGGAGGCGGCCUGUGAGGGUGACCGGCCACACAAGGUCUGAGGGACGGCCCAGACUGGUACGGGAGGCAGCAGGGGGGAAUAUUGCAGGAUGGGCGGAAGGUGGAUGAAGAAGCGCCGCGUGCGGGAAAACGGCCUUCGGGUUGUAAACAGCUUGCGCCUGUAACGAAGCGUGAGUGACGGUAAUGGGUAAAGAAGCCCCGGCUAACUACGUG
RNAcentral lists this ribosomal RNA (492 nucleotides) under uncultured bacterium. RNAcentral describes it as "partial 16S ribosomal RNA". It matches the Rfam family "Bacterial small subunit ribosomal RNA", at positions 28 to 507 of the family's 1533-position model. The record is from RNAcentral.